Cyprinus carpio carpio is the source of this 1967-nucleotide long non-coding RNA. NCBI's taxonomy places the organism in Eukaryota, Metazoa, Chordata, Actinopteri, Cypriniformes, Cyprinidae. The record is from Ensembl.
CCAGAGAAGAGAGGAGCACAGAAAUAUUAGUAAUUGUUGGUCUGAUUGUGCUGCAGGCUGUUGUUUGGCGUCAGUGAGGGCCGUCACGACCGAAGCCACAAACACAACAUCACUCAGAGAGAAAGAGAGAUGCAAAGAGACGAAUAAUUCAGUUUGUAAUGACUUCUCCGCACAACACCUUCAUGUAAUUCCAUUAUGGAUUUUGCCAUAAAGUGAUAAAUUCAUUAUUCAGGUGGACAGUAAAAAGCAGCAAUAACAUCCUCUAAUAUGCACAUUAUUCACGGCGUUACUCCGAGAAGCUGAUUUCUGGUGCUCUCCUCUUUCAUUUAUGAAGCUCUUUCUCAGGCUGUGAUGGGAACGGGAUGCAUUGUUCUAAAAACUGAAUUAGCAACGGCGUCCCGUCACUUUAGCGCCGUGGCUAAUGUGAACUCGAGGCACGGAGGCUUUUUGCCAUCAUCUGUUUAAAAGGCUUUUUUUCUGAAAGACAUUGGCUCAGGUUUAUGACACUGAAACACGUGUGAAAACCAAUAGCUGCUUCCAUGCAAACGCUGUAGGAUCAUGUGUCUGGAAUCAGCUUUGCAGACUUUCCAGAUCUGAAUCUGGUUGACAAAAAGGUCAAAUUUACUUUAGAUAUGAUUUAUGUUACUGAAUAUCCCUCAGCAUUAAAUAUUGUGUAUCAUUAUACUAGAUAAUAAUCUGAUAAUUUUAACAUUGUCUGAAAAAAUUGGAGUCGUGCAAAACACUGCAAGAAAGGUGUUUGUUAAGUUAUUGCUAUGAAUUUGUCAAUGUGUUGCUAUGCAGUUGUCAAAAGGUUUGUUAUGUGGUUGUCAGGGUGUUGCUGUGUGGUUGUCAAAGAGAUGCUAUGCGGUUUUCAAGGUGUUUCUAUGCUGUUGUCAGGGUGUUGCAAUGCUGUUGUCAAGGUGAUGCUGUGCAGUUGUCAGGGUGUUGCAAUGCUGUUGUCAAGGUAUUGCUGUGCGGUUGUCAGGGUGUUGCGAUUCUGUUGUCAGGGUGCUGCUCUACGGUUAUCAAGGUGUUGCUAUGUGGUUUACAAGGUUAGGGUUAGGGUUAGAGUUUAAAACCAUGUGUGGGUGUCAAGGUGUUGCUAUCCGGUUGUCAAGGUGUUGCUGUGCUGUUCUCAGGAUGUUACUUUUUCGGGUGUCAAGGUGUUGCUGUGCGGUCAUCAGGGUGUUGCGAUGCUGUUGUCAAGAUAUUGCUGUGCGGUUGUCAGGGUGUUGCAAUGCUGUUGUCAAGGUGUUGCUGUGCGGUCAUUAGGGUGUUGCAAUGCUGUUGUCAAGGUGUUGCUGUGCGGUUUUGAGGGUGUUGCGAAGCUGUUGUCAAGGUGUUGCUGUGUGGUCAUCAGAGAGUGGCAAUGCUGUUGUCAAGGUGAUGCUGUGCAGUUGUCAGGGUGUUGUGUUGCUGUUGUCAAGGUAUUGCUGUGCGGUUGUCAGGGUGUUGCGAUUCUGUUGUCAGGGUGUUGCUGUGCGGUUUUCAGGGUGUUGCAAUGCUGUUGUCAAGGUGUUGCUGUGCGGUUGUUAGGGUGUUGCGAUGCUGUUGUCAAGGUGUUGCGAUGCAGUUGUUAGGGUGUUGCGAUGCUGUUGUCAAGGUGUUCAAAUUGAGAAACACUGAAGACUGUCAAAGGCUGUGAGGCUGAAGGGUGGUUGUAAAGAAUUUUUGUUAUUGUACAGUGUGUCUGUAACAGGCAGUUACUGUAUAUUUUGUGUGUCCGAUGUGUCUGAUUGUGUCAUUCGUGUCUGUUGAGGGUGUGACUCUCAGAACUGUUGCGUGAGACUCACACUGUUCAGACUCACAGAUGGCUUCAGUUCUUCAUGUGAGCAUGCACAGCUGCAGACGAGCCACCCGCUGCUUCACGUCCCCAUUCCUCCGUCUGUCUUCUCCAGAACCUGAAUUACAAAUAAUUCAUUAACAAUUUCAUUCUUUAGAAAAAAACAUCUUUUUAUGCAAAUAGA